GAGCACGCGCGUGUGGCAUAUCAAUAAGCGGAGGAAAAGAAACUAACAAGGAUUCCCUUAGUAACGGCGAGUGAAGCGGGAAGAGCUCAAAUUUGAAAUCUUCAAGGUUCUACCUUGACGAAUUGUAGUUUAUAGAAGUGUUUUCUGUUGGUAGAGUGGCAAAAGUUCUUUGGAAUAGGACAUCAUAGAGGGUGAGAAUCCCGUAUUUGACCAUUCUUUCUAGCUUUGUGAUACACUUUCAAAGAGUCAGAUUGUUUGGGAAUGCAGUCCAAAAUGGGUGGUAAAUUUCAUCUAAAGCUAAAUAUUGGCGAGAGACCGAUAGCGAACAAGUACCGUGAGGGAAAGAUGAAAAGAACUUUGAAAAGAGAGUUAAACAGUACGUGAAAUUGUCAAAAGGGAAGCGUUUGACACCAGUGUUGUUUAGUUCGAAAAUCAAUUACGAAUAGUUUUUGAUUCUAGAGUAAGUAUUGACUUCAUCAGCUUGCUUCUUUCUUCUCAGAAACUUAUUGAAUGCACUUUUCAGGUUAACAAGUCAACAUCAAUUUCUUUUGUUGUAAAAGGGUAUGAGGAAGGGUGGCUUGCUCGUUCGGCUCAAGUGUUUAUAGCCUUUUAGCUCUGCAAUCGGAGAGAUUGAGGUCUGCAGCGUAGAUCCUUCGGGGUUAGAUACAGUUGGUGCUAAGCUAUAGCCUUGUAUAGACAACUUGUUGACUAUGCUCAGUCAUGUAGCUUACUCGCAUGAUGCUAUUUUACCUACGCUUAGGAUGUUGAUGUGAUACUGCGAGCA
RNAcentral lists this ribosomal RNA (784 nucleotides) under uncultured Neocallimastigales. Its description in RNAcentral is "partial large subunit ribosomal RNA". It matches the Rfam family "Eukaryotic large subunit ribosomal RNA", at positions 19 to 629 of the family's 3401-position model. The record is from RNAcentral. Lineage: Eukaryota; Fungi; Neocallimastigomycota; Neocallimastigomycetes; Neocallimastigales.